CAGGAAGGAUAAAGGUGGAGGCAUGGAGACAAAAUUGGAGAUGUUGGCCAAUGAACCAAAGGCUAAGAAACUGGUAACAGAUCUGACUGACAUCCAACUUCCUGAUAUAAAGGCUGACCAACUAACAGAGGAACAGAUCGCUGGUAAAAAAAUAGUUUAGGGAUGCGUUCAUGUUGUUUGAUAAAAAUGGAG
This is a long non-coding RNA of Tachysurus vachellii, 192 nucleotides long. RefSeq lists it as uncharacterized. The record is from RefSeq and is a predicted model, not a curated record. Lineage: Eukaryota; Metazoa; Chordata; Actinopteri; Siluriformes; Bagridae. The transcript has 3 exons.